CGUGUCCGGAAGUUACGUAACGCCAUAGGGUAACGUGCCCCUGUCCGUGGGGACAGUUUCCGCCAUUUUUGAAAAUUGGGAGGGUUCCGGAGUAAGUGCAGUUGCCGCCGCGGCGAUGGCAGCCUUCGCUGUGGAACCCCAGGCGCCCACGCUGGGAUCUGAACCAAUGAUGCUGGGUUCACCUACAUCUCCAAAGCCAGGAGUUAAUGCCCAGUUCCUGCCUGGAUUUUUAAUGGGGGAUUUGCCGGCUCCUGUGACUCCACAACCUCGAUCAAUUAGUGGUCCUUCAGUAGGAAUAAUGGAAAUGAGAUCACCUUUACUUGCAGGUGGGUCACCACCACAACCAGUUGUGCCUGCUCAUAAAGAUAAAAGUGGAGCUCCACCAGUUAGAAGUAUAUAUGAUGACAUUUCCAGCCCAGGACUUGGAUCAACACCUUUAACUUCAAGAAGACAGCUGAACAUUUCGGUAAUGCAGAGUCCUGUUGGAGUUACCACAGCUACUCCAGGAACAGGACAGAGUAUGUUUAGUCCAGCAAAUAUUGGUCAGCCACGAAAGACAACAUUGUCUCCUGCCCAGUUGGAUCCUUUUUAUACUCAAGGAGAUUCUCUGACUUCAGAAGAUCACCUCGAUGACACUUGGGUGACUGUGUUUGGAUUUCCUCAAGCAUCUGCUUCCUAUAUAUUAUUACAGUUUGCUCAAUAUGGAAAUAUCUUAAAACAUGUGAUGUCUAACACAGGAAAUUGGAUGCAUAUUCAUUAUCAAUCUAAACUGCAGGCCCGGAAAGCCUUAAGCAAAGAUGGGAGAAUUUUUGGAGAAUCCAUCAUGAUUGGUGUGAAGCCAUGUAUAGACAAAAGCGUUAUGGAAAACAGUGACAGAUACGCCUUGUCAUCCCCAUCUUUAGCCUUUACACCACCAAUCAAAACCUUAGGUACACCAACACAGCCUGGGAGUACUCCCAGAAUUUCUACCAUGAGACCUCUUGCUACAGCAUAUAAAGCUUCUACUAGUGAUUAUCAGGUUAUUUCUGACAGACAGACGCCAAAAAAAGAUGAAAGUCUUGUAUCCAAAGCAAUGGAGUACAUGUUCGGCUGGUAGUAUAAUAAGAACUAAGAAAUCAGCUACUGAAGAGGAGGCUGCUACAUUAAAACAGAGUUAGCAGAGUACUGCCAGUUUUCUUCGCUUUGUGUUUUCUAGCUCAUCUGUAUCUCAAACAUCCAACGGAAAUUAAGUGACAGGCACUUAGAAUACUUCUUCCUCUCUUCUGUUCAUAAUACUGCAGGAUACUUUCAUGUUCUGGUAGUAUGGGAAUGGACCAGAAGCCAGAAAUGCAACUUGACAAAUGUAUGAAGAUCAUCUUUUUGUUAGUGAUUGGUGAACUAAAGUAUUUCUUCAUCUAAAGUCAAAAUGAGUAAGAUUUUAAAGAAGGUUAAGGCUCAGUUAUGUGUGUAACUGCCUUAUUUGAUAUUGCUCUGCUGGUAGAAGAAGCAGAUGGAUAGGCCCAGAAGGAGUCUCAGUGGAGCAAGAAGGGAAGACCAAAGAGCAAGACUUCUAGAGAUCAUCACCAACAAGUGACUGAAAUUCUUUCACCAGGGAAAAUUGGCUGUGAUUGGAGAAGAUGUCAAGUCUAAACUCAGGUCUCUUCGUUCUUCAUCUAUAGUUUAUUUCAACAAAAUACAAUGCCCCUUU
Non-coding RNA from Oryctolagus cuniculus (rabbit), 1687 nucleotides. The record is from RefSeq and is a predicted model, not a curated record. NCBI's taxonomy places the organism in Eukaryota, Metazoa, Chordata, Mammalia, Lagomorpha, Leporidae.